AGAGUUGAUUCUGGCUCAGGAUGAACGCUAGCUACAGGCUUAACACAUGCAAGUCGAGGGGCAGCGGGAAGGAAGCUUGCUUCUUGCCGGCGACCGGCGCACGGGUGAAGUAACGCGUAUCCAACCUGCCCGCGGCUCAGGGAUAGCCUCGUGAAAACGAGAUUAAUACCUGAUGGUCUUGUUGGUUGACAUCAAUUGACAAGUAAAGAUUUAGUCGGCAGCGGAUGGGGAUGCGUUCCAUUAGGUGUUGGCGGGUAACGGCCCACCAAGCCGACGAUGGAUAGGGGUUCUGAGAGGAAGGUCCCCCACAUUGGAACUGAGACACGGUCCAAACUCCUACGGGAGGCAGCAGUGAGGAAUAUUGGUCAAUGGGCGAGAGCCUGAACCAGCCAAGUAGCGUGAGGGGAAUGACUGCCCUAUGGGUUGUAAACCUCUUUUAUACGGGAAUAAAAUGCGCCACGUGUGGUGUUUUGCAUGUACCGUAAGAAUAAGCAUCGGCUAAUUCCGUGCCAGCAGCCGC
RNAcentral lists this ribosomal RNA (520 nucleotides) under uncultured bacterium. RNAcentral describes it as "bacterial SSU rRNA". It matches the Rfam family "Bacterial small subunit ribosomal RNA", at positions 8 to 518 of the family's 1533-position model. The record is from RNAcentral.